Molecule: long non-coding RNA, 221 nt
Organism: Pan troglodytes (chimpanzee)
Lineage: Eukaryota; Metazoa; Chordata; Mammalia; Primates; Hominidae
Exons: 3
Source: RefSeq, a predicted model, not a curated record
CUCGAAACUUCACUAACGAGGCAGCUUAUUUUCUAAUCCCAGUCAGCAUUGUAGGGCACCGAGCGACUUCUUGGCAGAUACUGCAUCUUCAGCCAGGAGAAGUUGGCUUAGUACAAAAGGGCUUUUGAAGCGAUUUUCGAGAUUGUUGACUAUUAUGUAACAGAUGGCCCAACAGACCUCCGACUCUUUUGCGGUGUUGGCCAGCUUGGCUCAGGAAAAUA